GGAAGGUUUGGAGAGUGAAUGAAUCAAAGAAGCAUGAGUUUCGUCAAAAGUCGGCAAGUUGGGAAUACGAUAACUUGUACUUUUGGGUGAGAUUAGGAGUGCUCCAUAUGCUAAGCAAGUAAUGAUAUGAAGUAUUUGAAUUGUAUAAUGGUCUCUUGUUAAGUUUGGAAGUCAAACGAGUUGUAAUACGAAAGUCGACAAAGGGCGUCGCAAGUUAAGUUUGUAAAUUUCACUGAAAUUUGGGUCAGAUGUCUCGGAGCUUUUCUCUCAAUAUACUUGGAGUUACGGGGUGAUCCACCUAUCAAAUCGAAGGUGUAUGAGUCUAGUUUCCAGUGGAUUUUAUCGUUCGUCAAUACGAUAUCGGAGUAGAGAGAAAUUCGCAUUUUUGUCCAAGAACGUAAACUGCCGCAGGAACAGUGGACAUAGUCGGUGGUCAAAGUUGUCUUUGUAUAUAUAUUCACCCUUCCACGACUUGUCUCUUAGUUUUCCUCUUCCAAGACCUCGAGACCACAGAAUUCAUCCUUAAAUAUUUCCCCAUCAAACACAAGAUAAUCAAAGGGCAAAUUAUACAAGUCUAACACAAGGAAUAAGGUAGUGAUCUUCGAAUCGGUAAAUUCUCGCUAAUUCGAUAUUUGGAAGGAAACUUCAUCAAGAAGCAAUUUAUAGUUUGGAGUGAUUUGCAUAGUUCGAGGAAGUCAAUUAUAAAGUGUUCGAGGCUUAUGGAAAUGUGUAUAACUCCAAUCGACGAGGUACGGUAGACGGAUUGUUGUACCUUUCUCGAUGGAUACCAAAGUUCGGCGGGGAUGUUCGCACUCCAUUCUCCGG
Molecule: long non-coding RNA, 825 nt
Organism: Lycium ferocissimum
Lineage: Eukaryota; Viridiplantae; Streptophyta; Magnoliopsida; Solanales; Solanaceae
Exons: 3
Source: RefSeq, a predicted model, not a curated record